This 194-nucleotide small RNA is filed under the name Staphylococcus aureus. RNAcentral's name for it is "HMPRNC0000_2334". Lineage: Bacteria; Bacillati; Bacillota; Bacilli; Caryophanales; Staphylococcaceae. The record is from RNAcentral.
AUAGAACCAGGUCUUGCAAUUUUAUAAGGAAAAGAUGUGCAAUCUAAAACCGUACUUUCUAAUCCUUCUUCACUUUGUUCAGCUUGAACAAUACCAUCGAUACGGCCAUUCAAAUCUUGAUAUACAUGAUUGAAAGUUGUUGGUGAAGGUCUACCACUUAAAUUAGCACUUGGAGCAGCUAGAGGUUCAUUUAU